GUGUAUUGAUCUUUGAUGAGGCGGUGAUCCCAAUUUGACUUUUUUUAUUCUCAAGAACUCUAACCCAAGACCUUAAUGAGUAGAGAAAUUUCAACCAUCCUACCAAUGCGAUUCAUCUCCGUUCUAGAAAUUUUGUUUGAUUGUGUGUAUUGUAUUUAUUCUUUAUCACUUUUUUUCACCAAAGAUUUUUUAAAUAUUUAAAAGAAGACUACCUGUCAAUAUCUGAAUGAGCCUUCAUGUCUGUGCCUGAUAUGGGAACUCUUGUUCUCUUCCUCAGAUGAUAAUAAUGCACGCCGUUAUAUUAAUAAAAAAUAUAGUAUUAUGGUUCCCAGAGAGCUGAUUCAUGUAAUCUUUAUCCUCUUGUGUUGACUAUUUCCUCUGAAUCAGAAAUUCGUGGGUUCAUCUGAGACAUGCAAAUAUUAUACUAUUAUUUCAUAGUUUGCUGGAAUUCAUACUACUACCUUGUAUUUUAUGAAAUUGUAUCAUGCACCUAAAUUUGUUUAGAAAAAAAUAAUCAUUGCGUGCACCCUGGGGUGAAUUAAAGGUAGAUAUACAGUGCUUUGAACCUAUAAUUUCAUGGCAAAACUAG
This 589-nucleotide long non-coding RNA is filed under the name Capsicum annuum. RNAcentral's name for it is "long non-coding RNA (CANN_LNC000387)". Lineage: Eukaryota; Viridiplantae; Streptophyta; Magnoliopsida; Solanales; Solanaceae. The record is from RNAcentral.